UAGAUAUAUGGAGGAACACCGGUGGCGAAAGCGGCUCUCUGGUCUGUAACUGACGCUGAGGCUCGAAAGCGUGGGGAGCGAACAGGAUUAGAUACCCUGGUAGUCCACGCCGUAAACGAUGAGUGCUAGGUGUUAGGUCCUUUCCGGGACUUAGUGCCGCAGCUAACGCAUUAAGCACUCCGCCUGGGGAGUACGACCGCAAGGUUGAAACUCAAAGGAAUUGACGGGGGCCCGCACAAGCGGUGGAGCAUGUGGUUUAAUUCGAAGCAACGCGAAGAACCUUACCAGGUCUUGACAUCCCGAUGCCCGCUCUAGAGAUAGAGCUUUACUUCGGUACAUCGGUGACAGGUGGUGCAUGGUUGUCGUCAGCUCGUGUCGUGAGAUGUUGGGUUAAGUCCCGCAACGAGCGCAACCCUUAUUGUUAGUUGCCAUCAUUCAGUUGGGCACUCUAGCGAGACUGCCGGUAAUAAACCGGAGGAAGGUGGGGAUGACGUCAAAUCAUCAUGCCCCUUAUGACCUGGGCUACACACGUGCUACAAUGGCUGGUACAACGAGUCGCAAGCCGGUGACGGCAAGCUAAUCUCUGAAAGCCAGUCUCAGUUCGGAUUGUAGGCUGCAACUCGCCUACAUGAAGUCGGAAUCGCUAGUAAUCGCGGAUCAGCACGCCGCGGUGAAUACGUUCCCGGGCCUUGUACACACCGCCCGUCACACCACGAGAGUUUGUAACAC
RNAcentral lists this ribosomal RNA (729 nucleotides) under Streptococcus intermedius. RNAcentral's name for it is "bacterial SSU rRNA". It matches the Rfam family "Bacterial small subunit ribosomal RNA", at positions 691 to 1420 of the family's 1533-position model. The record is from RNAcentral. Lineage: Bacteria; Bacillati; Bacillota; Bacilli; Lactobacillales; Streptococcaceae.